UGUGUAAAGUUCUCUGUGCCAUUUAAAAAAGGAAGCUGCAGAACAAACUUUACACUUUCUGUGAUCAAUGAUGUAAGCAAAUAAUUUCCUCUAAAUAUGACUGCAUCACUGUGAAAUUCUUUGUGCCUAUUAAAUACAAUGCAAAGAAGUAGAGGAGAAGUCUAGGAACUACAUUCUCAAGAGUCUGACUCUU
Molecule: long non-coding RNA, 193 nt
Filed under: Monodelphis domestica (gray short-tailed opossum)
Lineage: Eukaryota; Metazoa; Chordata; Mammalia; Didelphimorphia; Didelphidae
Description: lncRNA (ENSMODG00000048075.1)
Source: RNAcentral